This 622-nucleotide ribosomal RNA is filed under the name Clavulina cristata. RNAcentral describes it as "eukaryotic LSU rRNA". The stretch from base 217 to 370 matches the Rfam family "5.8S ribosomal RNA". Lineage: Eukaryota; Fungi; Basidiomycota; Agaricomycetes; Cantharellales; Hydnaceae. The record is from RNAcentral.
AGGAUCAUUAAUGAGUUGUGAUGGGGUUUGAUGCUGGCAGCCAAUUUUUGGAUGCAUGUGCUUGCCCUAACAAUCAUCUUCCAAACACCUGUGCACAUUUUUGAGGGAGUUUUGAGUUUNUUGCCAUUUUGGUGAUUUUCUUGCAUUCCCUUAAAUCAUUAUACNCUUUUAACAAUAAUGAACGUGCUCUGUGCCGCAAGGCCAUUAAUAUAAUACAACUUUUAACAACGGAUCUCUUGGCUCUCGCAUCGAUGAAGAACGCAGCGAAAUGCGAUAAGUAAUGUGAAUUGCAGAAUUCAGUGAAUCAUCGAAUCUUUGAACGCACCUUGCGCUCCCUGGUAUUCCGGGGAGCACGCCUGUUCGAGUGUCGUGAAAUUUCUCAAGCUUGGAUGGCUUUUUGUCUGUCCUUAGCCUUGGUUGUUGGGCUUUGCCGUGUCCUUUGUUGGGACGGCUGGCCUUAAAAGCAUUAGCUGAUCCUUGUGUGNCACUGGUUCUACUCAGCGUGAUAACAGUCUGAUCGCUGAGGACAUCUUUUGGGAUGGCCAGUUCUCAUUUGGGUUGCUUCUAAACUUGGUUUUGCAGAUUCUUGAAUCUGUGUUCCACUUUUCAGCUUUGACCUCGA